UCUGCGCUGGUCACUCGUCUUGUAUGGCGGCGGGGAGCACUGGCACCCGCCGAGACGCUUAAGAAGUUCUUCAAUUUCGAAAAGUUUCUUCGCGAGAUAGCUUCUUGACAUCGGCAUCUUAGUGGGGUUAUUCUUUUAUAAAAUCCCACUCCUGACACCAAUGUGGCCAAUGUUAAAGGCAGAGUCGUGAUAUUCUUUCGGUGACUUAAUUGUAACGUUCCAAGAGUGCACCAAGACCUUACUCAACCGAGAGCCUAACAUUUACUCUCUGACUUCACUAACGCUCCUCCUAAAGGCAAGCCCACACCGCACCGAAAAUCGGCGUCGGUGAGAAAAUCGGCGUCGGUUUCAUGAGUCUAUUUGGUGUGGUCGCUCAAAUUGGCCACGUCGGCGUUCAUUUCAGACGAUUCAACAUGUGUAAUCGGCCAUUCGAGUCGGUCAUUCUUUAACCAUUCUGAUACGUGGAGGGCUAGCAGCUUGACUAGCGAAUCAGUGAAGCCCGGAAGUGAGGAUGGUAAACAUACCAGAUAAACAGUGCAAUCGAAGAAGAUGUCGACACACUCUCUCAACGCAUUGUUUGGCAUUGUUUUGAUUGAUUGAAUAAUGUGGAUCGAAGAGCUCGUGCAACAAUUCAUCACCAUGGUGGAGGAUAGACCUAAGGAGGUCUGGAGAGGACCUGCUACUUCCGGUUUUCGUGUUUUUUGGCCAACAAUACAGAUUAGCGCCGCCUGUUGUUUUGGAGACAUUACAUCUCGCGCAAGCGCGGAACGUACGGCGUCGGCUGUAAUCCCGUAGGUUGGCCAUGGUGUGGUACCACCAGAAGAGGCGGGAGGUGAUGAAAUAAGCCACCACCACGUCUACGCUGUAGUGCUCGUGGGCCACCAGGAUGCACACCACGCCCACUGCGCUGAUCAGCCAGCACAGCAGGUGGUACCACCAGAAUGACCGCGGAAGUCCCCGCACAUGAGGUGGGAGCCCGUGAUGGAGAGCCCUGCGCCCGAGAUCAGCUGGAGGAUACGCUGGAGCUUAGCCUGGGAAUCACCGUGUAGCUACAUACAAAAAGAGAGGCUGAAGUCAUGUGCAUGCCAGGCACGGGGAGGGUUGUGAUGUACAUGGUGACACAGCGGUACAGGUACAGUGUACCAAUGAGGAAGAAGAACCGCCUGCUUGCUAUUGACCUGAAACAACAUGAGGGACCAGAGCCGACUUUCAUUGAGUUGAUUUCUCUACAGAAAGUAAAGUUUAAUGAAAGGAGAAAAACAACUCCCAAGGGGUUACGGUGGUGGAAGAUCUCACCUGUAUUUGAAGAAGAAGAGCUGGACGAGCCAUAUGGUCACCAGCACCAUGCCGUUCACCUCGGUCACAGUGAACGCCCA
This is a long non-coding RNA of Gadus morhua (Atlantic cod), 1376 nucleotides long. RefSeq lists it as uncharacterized. The record is from RefSeq and is a predicted model, not a curated record. NCBI's taxonomy places the organism in Eukaryota, Metazoa, Chordata, Actinopteri, Gadiformes, Gadidae. The transcript has 5 exons.